Molecule: ribosomal RNA, 149 nt
Filed under: Acidocella sp. 20-58-15
Lineage: Bacteria; Pseudomonadati; Pseudomonadota; Alphaproteobacteria; Acetobacterales; Acidocellaceae
Description: partial 23S ribosomal RNA
Rfam family: Bacterial large subunit ribosomal RNA
Source: RNAcentral
UAACCGCUGAAAGCAUCUAAGCGGGAAACUUACCUCAAAACUAGGCCUCCCAGAGGGUCGUGGUAGACCACCACGUUGAUAGGCCGGGUGUGGAAGUGCAGUAAUGCACGCAGCUAACCGGUCCUAAUAACCCGAUAGAGUUCAACUAU